Molecule: ribosomal RNA, 258 nt
Filed under: uncultured bacterium
Lineage: Bacteria
Description: partial 16S ribosomal RNA
Rfam family: Bacterial small subunit ribosomal RNA
Source: RNAcentral
GACGUAGGGCGCGAGCGUUGUCCGGAUUUAUUGGGCGUAAAGAGCUCGUAGGCGGUUUUGUCGCGUCUGCUGUGAAAACUGGGGGCUCAACCCCCCAGCCUGCAGUGGGUACGGGCAGACUUGAGUUCGGUAGGGGGAGACUGGAAUUCCUGGUGUAGCGGUGAAAAUGCGCAGAUAUCAGGAGGAACACCGGUGGCGAAGGCGGGUCUCUGGGGCCGAUACUGACGUGAGGAGCGAAAGCGUGGGGGAGCGAACAGG